This 256-nucleotide ribosomal RNA is filed under the name uncultured bacterium. RNAcentral describes it as "partial 16S ribosomal RNA". It matches the Rfam family "Bacterial small subunit ribosomal RNA", at positions 524 to 776 of the family's 1533-position model. The record is from RNAcentral.
UACAGAGGGUGCGAGCGUUGUUCGGAAUUACUGGGCGUAAAGCGCGCGUAGGUGGUGUGUUAAGUCUGCCGGUCAAAUGCCGAGGCUCAACCUCGAGCACGCCGGGGAUACCUGGCACGCUGGAGACGACGUAGAGGCAAGCGGAAUUCCGGGUGUAGCGGUGAAAUGCGCAGAUAUCAGGAGGAACACCGGUGGCGAAGGCGGGUCUCUGGCAGUGAACUGACGCUGAGGAACGAAAGCGUGGGUAGCGAACGGG